Molecule: RNA transcript, 460 nt
Organism: Daphnia magna
Lineage: Eukaryota; Metazoa; Arthropoda; Branchiopoda; Diplostraca; Daphniidae
Exons: 2
Source: RefSeq, a predicted model, not a curated record
UCUAGUAAUGAAACAGAGGACAAUCUUGCUCAAAACCGCCUUAAUUAUGUUGACAAACAAGUGAAUUUAAUUGAGUGCCAAGAAUCUUUCCUUCAUGAAGAACCCAAAGAAACUAAGAAUGCAAAGUUGGACUGGACUCGAAGAACCAGUGAGAUUCAUAAAGACUGGGCUUCUGUCAAACACAAUUUUCUAGAAGCUUUUGUGUCAUCAAAAUCAUUUGGCACUUCUUGGUGUGCUGACUGUCAAGCACCACUUCUGCAGUACUACAUUUCCUGUAGCAAUUGUCCUAAGAAGAGAUGUGAGAAAUGUGAUCAAGCUUUUCACAAAUCUCAUCCUUUUCAUAUGCAAACCAGAUAUUCCAGUUCCAUGUUUCCCAGUAUCGUUCAGUUGUCCAACAUGUGAUUGUUUAACAGCUUUCUCAUUAACAGCUGGGAAAAGGAGAAUAGUCAUCAUCACAGAA